RNAcentral lists this ribosomal RNA (769 nucleotides) under uncultured bacterium. RNAcentral's name for it is "bacterial SSU rRNA". It matches the Rfam family "Bacterial small subunit ribosomal RNA", at positions 60 to 819 of the family's 1533-position model. The record is from RNAcentral.
AGUCGAGGGGCAGCAUCAUCAAAGCUUGCUUUGAUGGAUGGCGACCGGCGCACGGGUGAGUAACACGUAUCCAACCUGCCGACAACACUGGGAUAGCCUUUCGAAAGAAAGAUUAAUACCGGAUGGUAUAGUUUUCCCGCAUGGGAUGAUUAUUAAAGAAUUUCGGUUGUCGAUGGGGAUGCGUUCCAUUAGGCAGUUGGCGGGGUAACGGCCCACCAAACCUACGAUGGAUAGGGGUUCUGAGAGGAAGGUCCCCCACAUUGGAACUGAGACACGGUCCAAACUCCUACGGGAGGCAGCAGUGAGGAAUAUUGGUCAAUGGACGAGAGUCUGAACCAGCCAAGUAGCGUGAAGGAUGACUGCCCUAUGGGUUGUAAACUUCUUUUAUACGGGAAUAAAGUGAGCCACGUGUGGCUUUUUGUAUGUACCGUAUGAAUAAGGAUCGGCUAACUCCGUGCCAGCAGCCGCGGUAAUACGGAGGAUCCGAGCGUUAUCCGGAUUUAUUGGGUUUAAAGGGAGCGUAGGCGGGUUGUUAAGUCAGUUGUGAAAGUUUGCGGCUCAACCGUAAAAUUGCAGUUGAUACUGGAUAUCUUGAGUGCAGUUGAGGCAGGCGGAAUUCGUGGUGUAGCGGUGAAAUGCUUAGAUAUCACGAAGAACUCCGAUUGCGAAGGCAGCCUGCUAAGCUGCAACUGACAUUGAGGCUCGAAAGUGUGGGUAUCAAACAGGAUUAGAUACCCUGGUAGUCCACACGGUAAACGAUGAAUACUCG